CCCUUAGAUGUUCCGGGCCGCACGCGCGCUACACUGAUGCAUUCAACGAGUGUACCUUGGCCGAGAGGCCUGGGCAAUCUUUUGAACGUGCAUCGUGAUAGGGAUAGAUUAUUGCAAUUAUUAAUCUUGAACGAGGAAUUCCUAGUAAACGCAGUUCAUCAAACUGCAUUGAUUACGUCCCUGCCCUUUGUACACACCGCCCGUCGCACCUACCGAUUGGAUGGUCCGGUGAAGCCUCGGGAUUGUGGCGGUUGCCUUUAUUGGUGGCCGCCGCGAGAACUUGUCUAAACCUUAUCAUCUAGAGGAAGGUGAAGUCGUAACA
This 322-nucleotide ribosomal RNA is filed under the name uncultured eukaryote. Its description in RNAcentral is "partial 18S ribosomal RNA". It matches the Rfam family "Eukaryotic small subunit ribosomal RNA", at positions 1470 to 1796 of the family's 1831-position model. The record is from RNAcentral.